Molecule: unclassified non-coding RNA, 28 nt
Filed under: Mus musculus (house mouse)
Lineage: Eukaryota; Metazoa; Chordata; Mammalia; Rodentia; Muridae
Description: oocyte_clustered_small_RNA8510
Source: RNAcentral
UCAGGAAGCAGGAGCUAGUGCAGAGACC